GUAAUUUUUUUUUCGCACAGUUUGAUCAAUCGGUAACCUUGAUGGCUACUCGGUUAUAAUCCUGUGCUAAAUAAUGGAAGAAAAUGAGC
Non-coding RNA from Tribolium castaneum (red flour beetle), 89 nucleotides. The record is from RefSeq and is marked provisional. Lineage: Eukaryota; Metazoa; Arthropoda; Insecta; Coleoptera; Tenebrionidae.